This 427-nucleotide ribosomal RNA is filed under the name Bacillus altitudinis. Its description in RNAcentral is "bacterial SSU rRNA". It matches the Rfam family "Bacterial small subunit ribosomal RNA", at positions 353 to 772 of the family's 1533-position model. Lineage: Bacteria; Bacillati; Bacillota; Bacilli; Caryophanales; Bacillaceae. RNAcentral also lists the same sequence under 1 other name. The record is from RNAcentral.
AGUAGGGAAUCUUCCGCAAUGGACGAAAGUCUGACGGAGCAACGCCGCGUGAGUGAUGAAGGUUUUCGGAUCGUAAAGCUCUGUUGUUAGGGAAGAACAAGUGCAAGAGUAACUGCUUGCACCUUGACGGUACCUAACCAGAAAGCCACGGCUAACUACGUGCCAGCAGCCGCGGUAAUACGUAGGUGGCAAGCGUUGUCCGGAAUUAUUGGGCGUAAAGGGCUCGCAGGCGGUUUCUUAAGUCUGAUGUGAAAGCCCCCGGCUCAACCGGGGAGGGUCAUUGGAAACUGGGAAACUUGAGUGCAGAAGAGGAGAGUGGAAUUCCACGUGUAGCGGUGAAAUGCGUAGAGAUGUGGAGGAACACCAGUGGCGAAGGCGACUCUCUGGUCUGUAACUGACGCUGAGGAGCGAAAGCGUGGGGAGCGAA